Molecule: ribosomal RNA, 719 nt
Filed under: Pseudomonas koreensis
Lineage: Bacteria; Pseudomonadati; Pseudomonadota; Gammaproteobacteria; Pseudomonadales; Pseudomonadaceae
Description: bacterial SSU rRNA
Rfam family: Bacterial small subunit ribosomal RNA
Source: RNAcentral
GCUCAGAUUGAACGCUGGCGGCAGGCCUAACACAUGCAAGUCGAGCGGAUGAAAGGAGCUUGCUCCUGGAUUCAGCGGCGGACGGGUGAGUAAUGCCUAGGAAUCUGCCUGGUAGUGGGGGACAACGUUUCGAAAGGAACGCUAAUACCGCAUACGUCCUACGGGAGAAAGCAGGGGACCUUCGGGCCUUGCGCUAUCAGAUGAGCCUAGGUCGGAUUAGCUAGUUGGUGAGGUAAUGGCUCACCAAGGCGACGAUCCGUAACUGGUCUGAGAGGAUGAUCAGUCACACUGGAACUGAGACACGGUCCAGACUCCUACGGGAGGCAGCAGUGGGGAAUAUUGGACAAUGGGCGAAAGCCUGAUCCAGCCAUGCCGCGUGUGUGAAGAAGGUCUUCGGAUUGUAAAGCACUUUAAGUUGGGAGGAAGGGUUGUAGAUUAAUACUCUGCAAUUUUGACGUUACCGACAGAAUAAGCACCGGCUAACUCUGUGCCAGCAGCCGCGGUAAUACAGAGGGUGCAAGCGUUAAUCGGAAUUACUGGGCGUAAAGCGCGCGUAGGUGGUUCGUUAAGUUGGAUGUGAAAUCCCCGGGCUCAACCUGGGAACUGCAUUCAAAACUGUCGAGCUAGAGUAUGGUAGAGGGUGGUGGAAUUUCCUGUGUAGCGGUGAAAUGCGUAGAUAUAGGAAGGAACACCAGUGGCGAAGGCGACCACCUGGACNG